CCUACGGGAGGCAGCAGUGAGGAAUAUUGGUCAAUGGACGAGAGUCUGAACCAGCCAAGUAGCGUGAAGGAUGACUGCCCUAUGGGUUGUAAACUUCUUUUAUAAAGGAAUAAAACGAGGCACGUGUGCCUUUUUGCAUGUACUUUAUGAAUAAGGAUCGGCUAACUCCGUGCCAGCAGCCGCGGUAAUACGGAGGAUCCGAGCGUUAUCCGGAUUUAUUGGGUUUAAAGGGAGCGUAGAGGGGUUGUUAAGGCCGUUGGGAAAGUUUGCGGGUCAACCGUAAAAUUGCAAUUGAUACUGGCAGUCUUGAGUACAGUUGAGGUAGGCGGAAUGCGUGGUGUAGCGGUGAAAUGCUUAGAUAUCACGAAGAACCCCGAUUGUGAAGGCAGCUUACUAAACUGUGACUGACAUUGAUGCUCGAAAGUGUGGGUAUCAAACAGGAUUAGAUACCCCUGUAGUC
RNAcentral lists this ribosomal RNA (460 nucleotides) under uncultured bacterium. Its description in RNAcentral is "partial 16S ribosomal RNA". It matches the Rfam family "Bacterial small subunit ribosomal RNA", at positions 338 to 795 of the family's 1533-position model. The record is from RNAcentral.